UCCGUAGGUGAACCUGCGGAAGGAUCAUUAACGAAUAACUCUGGAUUGUUGCUGGCCUCUUGGUAGGUAUUGUGCACAUCCUUUUAUUCUUCAACCACUGUGCACCUUUUGUGAGCCUUUGUAAACACGGAUUUUUGAGACUUGCGCCUAACCCGCGCUUGACUCGCUAAAGUCGUUUUGCACCGGUUCACGUUUAUUACACAUACAAUGUAAAUUUUAGAACGCAUAAAUAGAGUUGGGACUUGCGCCCUUCUUUUAAAAAUAUAAAUACAACUUUCAACAACGGAUCUCUCGGCUCUCGCAUCGAUGAAGAACGCAGCGAAAUGCGAUAAGUAAUGUGAAUUGCAGAUUUCAGUGAAUCAUCGAAUCUUUGAACGCACCUUGCACCUUAUGGUAUUCCGUAAGGUAUGCCCGUUUGAGUGUCAUUGAAUCAUCAAACCUACUACAUUUUGUAGUCAGGGCUUGGUUAUGAGGGUUUUGUGCGGGCUCUAACGAGUCGGCUCCCUUUAAAAACAUUAGCGAGACUUCCCUUUGGUUGACCCUCUCUGGCGUGAUAAUUAUCUGCGUCAAAGUGCGGUUCUCGUUGGGCUUGCUUCUAACCGUCUCUUGACCGAGACAAUUAGGAUUUGGACGCAUAUAUGCGCACAUUUCUGAACUCUUUUGACCUCAAAUCGGGUAGGACUACCCGCUGAACUUAAGCAUAUCAAUAAGCGGAGGA
Molecule: ribosomal RNA, 718 nt
Filed under: uncultured fungus
Lineage: Eukaryota; Fungi
Description: eukaryotic LSU rRNA
Rfam family: 5.8S ribosomal RNA (bases 272-425)
Source: RNAcentral